UACGGAGGGUGCGAGCGUUGUCCGGAAUCACUGGGCGUAAAGGGCGCGUAGGCGGCGCGGGUAGUCAUCGGUGAAAGUUCAGGGCUCAACUCUGAAUCGGCCGGUGAUACUCCCGUGCUCGAGCACUGUAGAGGCAGGUGGAAUUCCGGGUGUAGCGGUGGAAUGCGUAGAGAUCCGGAAGAACACCGGUGGCGAAGGCGGCCUGCUGGGCAGUAGCUGACGCUGAUGCGCGAAAGCGUGGGGAGCGAACAGG
This 253-nucleotide ribosomal RNA is filed under the name uncultured bacterium. Its description in RNAcentral is "partial 16S ribosomal RNA". It matches the Rfam family "Bacterial small subunit ribosomal RNA", at positions 524 to 776 of the family's 1533-position model. The record is from RNAcentral.